This 492-nucleotide ribosomal RNA is filed under the name uncultured bacterium. RNAcentral describes it as "partial 16S ribosomal RNA". It matches the Rfam family "Bacterial small subunit ribosomal RNA", at positions 29 to 507 of the family's 1533-position model. The record is from RNAcentral.
AGUGAACGCUGGCGGUAGGCCUAACACAUGCAAGUCGAACGGCAGCACAGUAAGAGCUUGCUCUUACGGGUGGCGAGUGGCGGACGGGUGAGGAAUACAUCGGAAUCUACUUUUUCGUGGGGGAUAACGUAGGGAAACUUACGCUAAUACCGCAUACGACCUACGGGUGAAAGCAGGGGAUCUUCGGACCUUGCGCGAUUGAAUGAGCCGAUGUCGGAUUAGCUAGUUGGCGGGGUAAAGGCCCACCAAGGCGACGAUCCGAAGCUGGUCUGCGAGGAUGAUCAGCCACACUGGAACUGAGACACGGUCCAGACUCCUACGGGAGGCAGCAGUGGGGAAUAUUGGACAAUGGGCGCAAGCCUGAUCCAGCCAUACCGCGUGGGUGAAGAAGGCCUUCGGGUUGUAAAGCCCUUUUGUUGGGAAAGAAAAGCAGCAGGUUAAUACCCCGCUGUUCUGACGGUACCCAAAGAAUAAGCACCGGCUAACUUCGUG